AUGUUUUUUUUGUCUGCACACAGGAUCCCUGGAGAACCUCCUGAGUGAAUUAGCAGUUCUUUGCUCAAUUCUCAGCGAGGUUGUUUCUCUGAGAUCCUAAUUGUCCCAAAUGUUCCUUUUAGAAAUAACAAAGGCUCUCCUCUUUGGAACACGGAGUGCCAUAGAUUUACAACACGAUGCUGGAUUCUAGAUAAGUGCUCUCAUCACCACAAGCUGAAUGGUCCCUCUGACAUUUCCCUCAUGCGACAUAGAGCGGCGAAGUGUCUCCAUGGCCAGAUGAUUGGAGCGUCCGAGCAGAGAUUCUCCGUUCACGGCGACCAGCUGAUCAUUGAUGUGCAGACGUCCAUCCUGUACCACAAACUCAUGUUCAAUCGAUUGCCCUUCAAAAAUGGGCCAAGUAGCACAUUUUACCAUGGGAAAAUAAAGGUAAUGCUGCUUUCAUUUAGGGUCACUGGAAAUUUGAGGGACCUUUUAGCACUGUAGGUCGCUCACCUUGUAAGCAGCUCCUCCAUGUAUGACAGAUUUGAUGAAAAUUCCCAAGUCCUCUCCUGUCUCCCUUGAUUUAUUUCCUUUGAGGCUGAUACCCAAACCUGCGGAGCCAGAGUCAUUGAGGGGCACCUCGAACAUGAGCUGCUCCUUUCCAUUCUCCAAAAUUAAGCCAUGGUCGCGAGGCCCCUCAUCUUUCUGAAGCAGAAGAGAAAACAAGGAAUGGCGAAUUGAAUCGUUUUUCAAUUUACCAUUAAGAUAACGAAUAAUGAUUUAAUUUGUAAAAGUCACCGCGCCCGAGGAAAAACAACCAAUCGGGAACAGAAGGUGGAGAGUUAUGAAUGUAAAAUGUAGUUUCAGUUGUUCCUUCUUAUUUUUCUUUUUAACAAAAAUAUUUUUUUUCAAUUUAAGUGAUAAGUUAUUUCCUUAUGUUAGUGUGGGGUGUGGCUUUGAUCGGGGACUGAGGAUUUUAAGCCACGCAAACUUCCCCCUUAAACAAAUGUGAACCUGUCACUUACAGGAAAAACAUUUUCCUCCCGGUCGCCUGUUUGCUUUUCAUCAACAAGGUUCCCCUAAAGCUACAACUGAGCGCGUAUGCUAAUCAUUUUGUAAAGCCCGGCAAAGCAGAGCAGAACAUUCAUCAUCAAAGCAUUGUACAGUAAGCACAUGUUCCCAAGCAACGGAACCAUUCCCAUUUGCAAGUCGCCUGCGGCUACAACCAGUACAGGGAUAAUCUGUCAGUCCUCUGCCUCAGGUGAACCCAGACAUAAUAGGCAUCCAUCAUGAUCCAUGUAGCAAUUGCAAAUGGAAUGCAUGAUGACAGCUAAAAGGUUCAACAAGAUGCUAGAUGGACCGGUUUCCAGGGCUACAAGGCUCACGGGUUGUACGCGGCCUUAGAAAUAGAGCUGGGGCAUGAGCAUCUUCUAUGAAGCAGCCGAGAAUAAGACCAACAAAUUUAACAUGCUUCUUAUCAGCAAAGUAGGAGCUCUCACUAAAUAAAGAGACGAGAGCUUACUUCUACCACAACAGCAUGCAGUUAACCGGGUAUAUUGUCACAGCUCAAAUAUGUGGCGCUAUCAAGGCCUCAGAAAGUAGACAAAGUAUUGUGCUGGUGCUCAAGAAAGUAGUAUUUAAUUUUCAGCAGGGCUGGUUUUCAGGCAUUCAACAAACAUGCCCAAAAAGAUAACUCAUAAUUUUUAUGCCUUAUUUUAUAAGCUGGCCGAUAUCUUUUAAUCAAUCAAAUUUGGGAGGUUUGUCAGCACCUUUUUCUCUGUAGUGUGUCAAAUUUACAAGACAUUUCAGGUUGAAUGAACUCUAAUAAAUUGUAAUAUUCCUUUUGUAUGGAUAUACAGUGCAGGGAUUACUAGAAUGUUCCUUCCUGCACAGUGUCCUGAUCAGACUGACAGUCAGUGUCUAGACAGGAUAGGAGGCAACACAAGCCCAGACAGAAAAGAUAAACACCAGGAAGAACUACUGACAGAUAAUGGAACAUUUUUAGACCUCUCGAGCAUUUCUGCUACUCCUACUACAGUAUUUUAUUCCCACAUCCUUAAUUACGAUACAAUCCCAAUUCUUUAUCAUGUUGCAGAAAUAACAAACAAUUCUGGAAGAAUGACCGAUUUGGUUACGGAACUUAAACCAAAAGAUCUCAGCAGCAGUUGAGACUUCCCAUGGGCCGUGAGAUGUUCAUAGAAUCUGACGAAAGUAUUCAAAUCAUAUCAUAUUGUUUAUUGAGCUGAUUAAUUCCACCUUCUUGUUGAACAAUGCAUAAACUCCAGUGACUUCUCCAGUGGGUUUUAAGAGAAAAACAGACAGAGGCAAAACUACUAAUCAGCGGGUUUGUGUGUGAAAUUAAUAUAAUAGAUCAUAACAUUUUUAUUGCAUGAUACAACUAUUGCAAUAAGUCCAUAUCGAUAUAAUCCAUGAUGGUGUUAUAUACGGUAUGUCUCAUGGCAAUUGUUCUUUAAUCAUGACUGUGUAUGAUGGCACAAAUGGAAAACACAAAUAAGAAAAAGUACUUUA
Long non-coding RNA from Syngnathus typhle (broad-nosed pipefish), 2508 nucleotides. RefSeq lists it as uncharacterized. The record is from RefSeq and is a predicted model, not a curated record. NCBI's taxonomy places the organism in Eukaryota, Metazoa, Chordata, Actinopteri, Syngnathiformes, Syngnathidae. The transcript is spliced from 2 exons.